Long non-coding RNA from Talpa occidentalis (Iberian mole), 447 nucleotides. RefSeq lists it as uncharacterized. The record is from RefSeq and is a predicted model, not a curated record. The transcript is spliced from 3 exons. NCBI's taxonomy places the organism in Eukaryota, Metazoa, Chordata, Mammalia, Eulipotyphla, Talpidae.
CACUGGGCUCAGCCACCUGGACAUCACAAAGGCCCUGGCUGCCCAGGGCUGCCCCCAGAAGGGGCUCACACCAACAGAGGGUUUCAUUGCGGCAGCUGGACCAGCAGGACGUGCUGAGUAACAGUCAAACACGCCAGGAUUUCUGCCACGAGUCACGUUUUUUACUUGACGAUUAAGAGCAAGUGCUGGAGAGGGAAACAGCCCUCCAUCAAGUCCAUCCAGAGAAUGGAGUCUUCUAACUCUCCCUCCUCCUCCUGGACCUCCAGGGGCCAAGCUCAGGAGACAGCAAUUUAGAAACAGGAGGUUGCUCUCUAGCAAGGAAUUGUCUCAAGGAAGGAUACGUACCCAAGCGGAUCUAGUCAUAGAGAAUCUGGGAAUCUGUGUAAGCACUAUUAAUAAAUGAGUGUCCCUCAUAUGCUGGCUCGAGCAUAUACUUAUAUAGAAGGA